RNAcentral lists this ribosomal RNA (274 nucleotides) under uncultured bacterium. RNAcentral describes it as "partial 16S ribosomal RNA". It matches the Rfam family "Bacterial small subunit ribosomal RNA", at positions 523 to 796 of the family's 1533-position model. The record is from RNAcentral.
AUACGGAGGGUGCGAGCGUUAUUCGGAUUUAUUAGGUUUAAAGGGUGUGUAGGCGGGAGCCUAAGUCAGUGGUGAAAUCUCACAGCUUAACUGUGAAACUGCCAUUGAAACUGGGUUUCUUGAGUAUAGUUGAGGUAGGCGGAAUGUGUAAUGUAGCGGUGAAAUGCAUAGAUAUUACACAGAACACCGAUUGCGAAGGCAGCUUACUAAGCUAUUACUGACGCUGAUGCACGAAAGCGUGGGUAGCGAACAGGAUUAGAAACCCGAGUAGUCC